This is a non-coding RNA of Acanthosepion pharaonis, 109 nucleotides long. Lineage: Eukaryota; Metazoa; Mollusca; Cephalopoda; Sepiida; Sepiidae. The record is from the annotation of a GenBank genome assembly.
UGGCAAUAUCACUUUGAAACACGUUCAUGUAUGAUCACCAAAGUUAAGCAAUGUUGAGCCUGGUCAGUACCUAGAUGGGUGAGCACUUGGCAAUACUAGCUGCUGUAAG